This 318-nucleotide unclassified non-coding RNA is filed under the name Zea mays. RNAcentral's name for it is "misc RNA Zm00001eb238240". Lineage: Eukaryota; Viridiplantae; Streptophyta; Magnoliopsida; Poales; Poaceae. The record is from RNAcentral.
GUUUCGUCUGGCUAGUGCCCAUGGUUUUUUCGUUCGCAAUGAAGGGUUUUCCACGUAUAUCUGUGCCGUGCUCUGUGAUUUGUUGGUUGAUCUACUUCGUUUUUUCUGCUGAUUCUGCUAACACAUCCUCUACACCAGGUCCUCCUACCACUGACUACCUCUCCUCCAGCGUCAUCGCCACCCACAUCCAUCUCCUCCAACCAUCGUCACCUACCCCUGUCGCCCCCCCUCCAGUUCGAGUCAUCCUCCAGCAGCCUCCAUCCUCUCCUCUGCUCUGCCCCCUCACCCCUCUGCCAUCCUCCAGCAGCCAGCGCUCAG